GACAGAGGUCCCAAGCGUUAGGCGGAAUCACUGGGCUUAAAGCGUGUGUAGGCGGAUUUGUAAGUACCUUGUGAAAUCCCACGGCUCAACCGUGGAACUGCUUGGUAUACUGCUUAUCUUGGGCCAUCUAGGGGCGAGCGGAACAAACGGUGGAGCGGUGAAAUGCGUAGAUAUCGUUUGGAACGCCAAUGGUGAAAACAGCUCGCUGGGGAUGUGCCGACGCUGAGAUACGAAAGCCAGGGGAGCAAACGGG
This 253-nucleotide ribosomal RNA is filed under the name uncultured bacterium. Its description in RNAcentral is "partial 16S ribosomal RNA". It matches the Rfam family "Bacterial small subunit ribosomal RNA", at positions 524 to 776 of the family's 1533-position model. The record is from RNAcentral.